Molecule: ribosomal RNA, 534 nt
Filed under: Arsenophonus endosymbiont of Bemisia tabaci
Lineage: Bacteria; Pseudomonadati; Pseudomonadota; Gammaproteobacteria; Enterobacterales; Morganellaceae
Description: partial 23S ribosomal RNA
Rfam family: Bacterial large subunit ribosomal RNA
Source: RNAcentral
CGAGGCGAACCGGGGAAACUGAAACAUCUCAGUACCCCGAGAAAAAGAAAUCAACCGAGAUUCCCCCAGUAGCGGCGAGCGAACGGGGAGCAGCCCAGAGUCAACAUCAAUAUUUACCACAGGAGAAGGGUCUGGAAAGGCCGGCAAUAAAGGGUGAUAGCCCCGUAUCUAAAGCGGUAAGUGUUGUGAACUCGAAGAGUAGGGCGGGACACGUGUUAUCCUGUCUGAAUAUGGGGGGACCAUCCUCCAAGGCUAAAUACUCCUGACUGACCGAUAGUGAACCAGUACCGUGAGGGAAAGGCGAAAAGAACCCCGGCGAGGGGAGUGAAAUAGAACCUAAAACCGUGUACGUACAAGCAGUAGGAGCACCCGAAAGGGUGUGACUGCGUACCUUUUGUAUAAUGGGUCAGCGACUUAUAUUCUGUAGCAAGGUUAACCGCAUAGGGGAGCCGUAGGGAAACCGAGUCUUAACUGGGCGUUAAGUUGCAGGGUAUAGACCCGAAACCCGGUGAUCUAGCCAUAAGCAGGUUGAAG